CAAAAUGGCUCUUAAUAGGAGGUGAAAGGGCCAGGACAGGGGAGCAGCCUGCUGGAUAUUCAUCUCCUCACUUCUUCUGAAGAGAGGAUCUUGGCUUCUGCCAUGAAAGAGCAGGGCUGCUCCAUUGCAGAUGCCGAAAACUCAAUGUCCCACCAAUCAAGAGUUCAAGCCAAGAGGGUGCACUGCCUCUGGGUAGGACACAAUCAACAUGUCUGGACUCAAACACCCUGGGGUUAGCCAACAAAACCCCCAAGGCCAGCAAGCUCCAUUUGUUCACGAGCUCUCUCAGGAUUGCACUGAGACAUAGUGAAGAAAAUAAAGAAGAAGACGUCCUGAGGACACACAGCUUACACAGGAUGAGGGCGUCGCUGACUAGGCCAGCAUUUAUUAGCCAUCCCUAAUUGCCCAGACGGCAGUUAAGAGUCAACCACAUUCCUAUGGGCCUGGAGUCACAUGUAGUCCUGACCAGCCUGAGAGGAUUCAUGGAAUAUCCUUGAAAUUUGAAAUGAAGAGCUGAAGAGUGUCAAAGGAACUUCAAACAGCAACACUUCAAAGGGAGAGAUACCAUUUAAAAAAUGAACAGUGAUUUCCUGUGGGUUGUGCUCCUAACUGUGGACAUGAUAAACUGAAAGAAAGUCAGACUGGGUGAAAGGCAUGUUGGUGUUUUGCUCUUCCAAGAAUGUACAAGAAAGGGGGUUAAAAAUCAGCAAAAACCCUUGGUGCCUGUGCUAGCUUGUGGUUCAAAUUACAUUGUGCUGAAGCAUGGUGCGAGGGGUCACUGCUGAGAGCUUCCACUAGACGCCCAUGUGUACGCAGGUCAAAAAGAAAUGAAGAAAUAUCUGAAUGCACAACGGAGGUCAUAGUUGAAGGAAACGGGGGCAAUUUCUUUCAGCUGGCUGUAGAGCCUAGAUUCUCUAAACAACUGCACAACUGUCAAACUCAGCACAAUGGAAAUCAUUCACCUUUAUAGCCAUAACGUUUUUGCAAUCUAUUCAUCAUUCAACACUUUAUUAGAAUUUUACUUUUUGGACUCAUCUCUCAUUUCUGAUCUGUGUAUACAUGUUUUGUCAUCUUUUCUUUUAUGUUAAUAGCAAAUAAACUUGCGCUUUCUUCAACUCAAGAAAA
Molecule: long non-coding RNA, 1125 nt
Organism: Rhincodon typus (whale shark)
Lineage: Eukaryota; Metazoa; Chordata; Chondrichthyes; Orectolobiformes; Rhincodontidae
Exons: 4
Source: RefSeq, a predicted model, not a curated record